RNAcentral lists this unclassified non-coding RNA (345 nucleotides) under soil metagenome. RNAcentral describes it as "partial contains 5.8S ribosomal RNA, internal transcribed spacer 2, and large subunit ribosomal RNA". The stretch from base 1 to 120 matches the Rfam family "5.8S ribosomal RNA", at positions 35 to 154 of the family's 154-position model. The record is from RNAcentral.
GAUGAAGAACGUAGCGAAAUGCGAUACGUAAUGUGAAUUGCAGAAUUCAGUGAAUCAUCGAGUCUUUGAACGCACAUUGCGCCCCCUGGUAUUCCGGGGGGCAUGCCUGUCCGAGCGUCAUUGCUGCCCUCAAGCACGGCUUGUGUGUUGGGCCUCCGUCCUCCUCCCGGGGGACGGGCCCGAAAGGCAGCGGCGGCACCGCGUCCGGUCCUCGAGCGUAUGGGGCUUCGUCACCCGCUUUUGUAGGCCCGGCCGGCGCUUGCCGACACAUCAAUCUUUUUUCCAGGUUGACCUCGGAUCAGGUAGGGAUACCCGCUGAACUUAAGCAUAUCAAUAAGCGGAGGA